This is a long non-coding RNA of Drosophila guanche, 988 nucleotides long. RefSeq lists it as uncharacterized. The record is from RefSeq and is a predicted model, not a curated record. The transcript has 2 exons. NCBI's taxonomy places the organism in Eukaryota, Metazoa, Arthropoda, Insecta, Diptera, Drosophilidae.
AACAAUAUUUUAGUUAAAAGUUUUACGUUUUUUAAUUGAACUUUCUUACCACCACAGGAGGCUUUAAUUUCAUAUUUAAACGAUGAGAAACCAAAAAAAAACAAUUACAGAAUAUAUAAGUGAAAUAUGCUAUAGAAAAUUAAGCACAGUCUAACAUCUGCAACCAGAUAUCUAUUACCAUUAUAUGCAAUAGUUUUAAACGAAUAAAACAGAAUAAAAAACAACUAAAUAAGCAAUAGCCCAAAGUAAAUAUUGGCCAUGAUUAGCCUGUCAUUGGCCCAACAAGGCCAAUAUUUUCUCCAUUUUCACUUGCAAAAGAUCAGCAAACAACCAAUUGGCACUAAACAACAAUCAGAACAACCAACAGAACAAGCAGAACAACAACCAAUGGCAAUUGAAACAUAAUUUCUUUCAGUUGAUUGAUUAUAUAUAAUUUCCUAUAUUCAGUUCUUUAGUUGACUCUCAAGACUUUCGAAAACUGUUUUGGCGUACACCUAAAAUCAAUAAAUAAAAGAAGUAACUAUCACGGACGAGCCAAAGGAAUCGUAUUUCUAAACUCAAAACAGCUUCAGGGACCAACUAAAAAAAGAAAGGAUAAAUGAUUUAAAACAAGAAAUGAAAAAUAUAACAACAAGUAAUAAAGAACAACUGGUAAAUUAACUAAAAUGUAAAGACAUGGCAUAAAAUAUUUAACGUAUUUACGUAAAAUUAACAUUUCCAGGCAUAUCUAAAAGAAAACUAAGAAAAAUUCAAAUAAAAACGCAUUCAAAAUUAUGAAAAAAAUGCAUAUGCAUGUACAUAUAUACAAGAACCCCAAAAACCUUUGAUAGGUACUUCAGGCAAAAUCAUUUCGGAAGGUAAAAAUUCCACAUACAUUUAAGGCAAAAGUGUAUACGAUGUGCAAAAGAAAUUUAAACUAAAAGUGGAUUAGGUGUAUAAGAUAUACAUACCUAGAUAUUUGGCUAAAAACAUAAACCCUAUGAAAACC